Molecule: ribosomal RNA, 406 nt
Filed under: uncultured bacterium
Lineage: Bacteria
Description: partial 16S ribosomal RNA
Rfam family: Bacterial small subunit ribosomal RNA
Source: RNAcentral
UGGGGAAUAUUGGGCAAUGGAGGCAACUCUGACCCAGCAAUGCCGCGUGAGUGAAGAAGGUCUUCGGAUUGUAAAGCUCUGUUCUAAGGGACGAAAACAAUGACGGUACCUUAGAAGAAAGCCACGGCAAACUACGUGCCAGCAGCCGCGGUAAUACGUAGGUGGCAAGCGUUGUCCGGAAUGACUGGGCGUAAAGGGUGCGUAGGCGGUUUUUUAAGUUGGAAGUGUAAUCCCGAAGCUUAACUUCGGUGCUACUUCCAAAACUGGAGAACUCUGAGUGUGGGAGAGGUAAGUGGAAUUCCUAGUGUAGCGGUGGAAUGCGUAGAUAUUAGGAGGAACACCAGUGGCGAAGGCGACUUACUGGACCAUAACUGACGCUGAGGCACGAAAGCGUGGGGAGCAAACA